AUUAAGUAUUAAGUAUUAAGAGUUGCAACACUCUAAUCAAGGAUAUCAAGAGUUGCACUGGUACCCAAGUCUUAUGCAAGCAAUGUGAGUUGCUACAUGAUUUAAGACACCUGCUCACACUACAAUUCUGUUUUCUCAUACUCUAUGCUACAGAAUCUUUGGAAACCACUGCUUCCCCAAACCUGUGCCCUUUGCCAACCUCUUGCUUAAGAAAUUACUGAAACAGUUAAAGAAAACCUAGGAGAAGAAGCAGACUUAAGAACAAAGGAAUCUGGAAACAGGAGAAGAUGAUCAGGACAGACUUCAUAGUGUCCUUGUGAAAAUUUAAUGAGAAGACAUUGCAAAACAUCUAGAGCAAUGGCACAGCAGAUGAUGAAAGGGAUGGGAAACUCCUGGGGAUAGAAGCAGAGGAAUGACAUAACUACAGACAUGCUUGAGAAAGAAUGAGUCCGGCGGACAUGAAGGAGACUGCAGAAAGGCCACUGCAACCCAGAGGGGAGGGGUGGUGACAGUUCCAAUCAGGUCAGUUACAGAAGCUGGGAUAAGAAGGAAGGCAUGGGUUCCAGAGCUUUCCGAAGGAGUCAUUGCAGGACUUCAAUUGCAAGAAUAUCAGGGUUAGGUUGGGGCAGAAAGCACAUCCAAAAAGGAAGACAAAAAUGACAUGGAAAAAACGAUGGCAUAUUGGGCUUUCUAACAGACUGCUUGAUGCUAAAACAGUCUGUCUCACAAUUUUUUUUUAAGAUCACAAACCUCAAAACUAGAGAUUUAUAUGUUUAGA
Molecule: long non-coding RNA, 778 nt
Filed under: Homo sapiens (human)
Lineage: Eukaryota; Metazoa; Chordata; Mammalia; Primates; Hominidae
Description: HSALNT0328422
Source: RNAcentral